AGGGUUUGAUUAUGGCUCAGGACGAACGCUGGCGGUGCGCCUUAUGCAUGCAAGUUGAGCGAAGCUUUUCAGUAGUUUACCACAGAAAAUGACUGAGCGGCGAACGGGUGAGUAACGCGUGAGCAAUCUACCUUAGUUACUGGGAUAGCCCGAGGAAACUCGGAUUAAUACCGGAUAUUCUUAUUUUUUCACAUGAAGUUUUAAGGAAAGGUCAGCCGAACUAAGAUGAGCUCGCGUUCUAUCAGCUAGUUGGUGGGGUAAAAGCCUACCAAGGCUACGACGGAUAGCUGGUCUGAGAGGACGAUCAGCCACACUGGGACUGAGACACGGCCCAGACUCCUACGGGAGGCUGCAGCAGGGAAUAUUGCGCAAUGAGCGAAAGCUUGACGCAGCGACACCGCGUGUGGGAUGACGGUUCUAGGAUUGUAAACCACUUUCAGGAGGGAAGAAAAUGACGGUACCUCCACAAGAAGACCCGGCCAACUACGUGCCAGCCGCCGCGGUAAUUC
This 509-nucleotide ribosomal RNA is filed under the name uncultured bacterium. Its description in RNAcentral is "bacterial SSU rRNA". It matches the Rfam family "Bacterial small subunit ribosomal RNA", at positions 8 to 526 of the family's 1533-position model. The record is from RNAcentral.